Bombina bombina (fire-bellied toad) is the source of this 1349-nucleotide long non-coding RNA. RefSeq lists it as uncharacterized. The transcript is spliced from 2 exons. NCBI's taxonomy places the organism in Eukaryota, Metazoa, Chordata, Amphibia, Anura, Bombinatoridae. The record is from RefSeq and is a predicted model, not a curated record.
GCAGUGCAUGCUGGGUAUACGUUGAUAACGGUUUCGUCUUCCCGUUUCCAUGAGUCACAGCGGUUUAUUAGCUCUUUACCGCGGUCCUCCUGCUGAUGACGUCACUGCAAUGCAUGAUGGGAAUCCCAGUUAUUUCCUCUCUGCUUCCUGUUUCCGGUUCGAUCCUAAAUCUGCGGUAACCGUAUGCCUCCAUGUUCGGGUUUGGGGCAAUACUAAGUCAGGCAGACGAGGAAGGAAAGGACCACCCCAUUGCCUACCUCAGUCGAAAACUGCUACCCCGGGAAGUAGGCUAUGCGGCGGUCGAGAGAGUGUCUGGCGCUGGUAUGGGCUUUGAAGAAGUUGCAGCCCUACCUAUAUGGAAGACCCUUCACCGUCCUCACUGACCAUAAUCCCCUUGUAUGGCUCAACCGAGUUUCCAGGGACAACGGGAGACUGUUGAGGUGGAGCCUAGCCCUGCAGCCAUUUAACUUUGACAUUCAGUACUGACCAGGAUAAAGCAAUGGGAAUGCUGACGGACUUUCCCGGCGGACUGAAGUGGCAUAAAUUCCUCGGACAUCCCCAGGCCGACCCAUAUGUGGAUCUAGCCGGGCCUGCCGAACUGGAGGGGGGGAGAUGUCACGGAUACCAGGCUGCAAGGGUUAAACCCCUAACCCCUAUAACCUUCCCCCUGUUGUUAGCUAGUCUAGGUGUGAAGUGUUUUUCUGUUAUUAUAUGAGUCAUCCAUUGUACUUUUGUAAGUCAGGAUGUGAUUAGAAUCUGUUUAACUAACCAUUGUCUGAUGUUUGUCUCAUUGUAUAAUAUUUGUUUCUAUUUGUGUAGUAACUACCCCAUUUGUUGGAAAUGUAUAAAAGCUGUGUUUUCUGUGCAGUAAACCCCUACCCCCUAUAACCUCACCCCUGUUGUUAUCUAGUCUAGGUGUGCAGUGUCUUUCUGUUAUUGUAUGAGUCAUCCAUUGUCCUUUUGUAAGUCAGGAUGUGAUUAGAAUCUGUUUAACUAACCAUUGUCUGUUUGUCUCAUUGUAUAAUAUUUGUUUCUAUUUGUGUAGUAACUACCCCAUUUGUUGGAAAUGUAUGAAAGCUGUGUUUUCUAUGCAGUAAACCCCUACCCCCUAUAACCUCACCCCUGUUGUUAUCUAGUCUAGGUUUGCAGUGUCUUUCUGUUAUUGUAUGAGUCAUCCAUUGUCCUUUUGUAAGUCAGGAUGUGAUUAGAAUCUGUUUAACUAACCAUUGUCUGAUGUUUGUCUCAUUGUAUAAUAUUUGUUUCUAUUUGUGUAGUAACUAUCCCCAUCUGUUGGAAAUGUAUAAAAGCUGUGUUUUCUGUGCAAUAAAGCAGUUCUUAUUUCACCUGAA